This 253-nucleotide ribosomal RNA is filed under the name uncultured bacterium. Its description in RNAcentral is "partial 16S ribosomal RNA". It matches the Rfam family "Bacterial small subunit ribosomal RNA", at positions 524 to 776 of the family's 1533-position model. The record is from RNAcentral.
UACAGGGGGUGCAAACGUUGCUCGGAAUCAUUGGGCGUAAAGCGCACGUAGGCGGAUUGUUAAGUCAGGGGGGAAAUCCUGGAGCUCAACUCCAGAACUGCCUUUGAUACUGGCGAUCUCGAGUCCGGGAGAGGUGAGUGGAACUGCGAGUGUAGAGGUGAAAUUCGUAGAUAUUCGCAAGAACACCAGUGGCGAAGGCGGCUCACUGGCCCGGUACUGACGCUGAGGUGCGAAAGCGUGGGGAGCAAACAGG